Long non-coding RNA from Amphimedon queenslandica, 1482 nucleotides. RefSeq lists it as uncharacterized. The record is from RefSeq and is a predicted model, not a curated record. NCBI's taxonomy places the organism in Eukaryota, Metazoa, Porifera, Demospongiae, Haplosclerida, Niphatidae. The transcript is spliced from 4 exons.
GGGUGUGGCUUGUAUUACAAUCACGUGCACGUGCUAAUAAACAAGACUGAGAAAAGUAGAUUAUGGCUGGAGGAGGUGAUGCUAAUGUUAACCUAACCGGUUGGAGGGCGUACAUUAACGUCUACACUAUCCCAGGAAGGAGAAACUUAGUUAUAACGGUCUUUGGGUCUAUUUUUGCUACCGUUUGGCUCGUUAAGAAACUAAGAAAGAGAUCAAAGCCGAUAGAAGCCAAGUAACCAGUUAUAAACUAAUAGUUAAUUGACUACUAGCAUAUCAGAGUAUUGUUUGAUCCAUUAUGUAGAUUAAUUAUUAUGAUUAUAAUAAAAACAAAAUAAAUAAUUGAUUUUAAAGUCUGGAAGUCUGGGAAUGUUUUUCCCAGUAUUGUGGCUAUGUGGUAUGGGUACUACUGGUAUGUACAUUAAUCACAUUAUGAAUACUGUAAAGUUCAGAUUACCAUAUUUAGCAAUAAUGAUCUCUCUCUCUCUCCAAUUGUUAUUAUAAUAUACACUCAGUGUGUAAAGCAUGUGGAUAUAUGUCACUAUCUUAUAGUAUUUGUAAACAUACUAAUUUGGAUAUACUUGACUACAUUACACUGAAUUAUAUAACACUGUAUGUUAAGCACACUAAAUUUGGCACACACUAAGUGAUGCUUGAAUGCAUGUACAUUAUCAUGUGUCACGUACUAUAGAACAUUUUAUUGAGACACUACUGACUGUAUGUACAUGUACAUGUACAUUACCAUAUAUGUCACUUUCUUAUUACAUACUAUAUUGUGCCUCUAUAAUACGACCUUAUAUGGUUAUAUGUGGAGAGAUGAGUAUGAACACUAUGUGAAUGAGGUUCUCUGAUUAUUAUUAUAGGGUAUUUUCAUCAAAUUCUGAAGGAAUUACUGCUAGUGAUCAAUACAUGUUCAGUAUUGUGGAUUCCUGAUACAUCUACAUGUACAUGUACAUGCAGACAGAAUGUAUAGAUUCCUAAUUACUGUGUUUACACUCAUAAUUGUUUAUUGGUAGAUAAAUAAUUAUUGGUGUUAUUGUUUUUCACUAAUCUGCCCACUCCUACCCCAUUCUACUCGCUAAUGCCAUUAUUCUGCUUCUUGCAAUACCUCACAUAGUCUCACCUAUUUAGUCUCAGUGUCUGGAACAGUGAAUGUCAACAGCAUAUAGACAGACUAAACACAAGAUGGAGGCACUUAUCCCUUUCCUAUCCUUCACAGUAAUUCCUGUUAUCGAGUUAUUCACUGUAUGCUAAUUGCAUUUGAGGGUGUGAAGGAUUUGUUUACAAAUACCAACCCUAAAACAAUAAUUUGUUUAUUGUUUUACUGGCAGCUACUCAUUACUGCAUGCUUGAUAUUGUUUGUAUUAUAAUAUAAUCAAAAAUAUAAUCAAUAAUUGAAGAAAAAUAGAAUAUAAAUUUAAUAAUAUAAUUAUAAUGCUAUGGGUAUCAACAAGAGUGGGUAUCAAUUCACAAAUUUUACAGUAA